UUGAGUUAUAGUCACCUUGUCACAUUUUUU
This 30-nucleotide non-coding RNA is filed under the name Mus musculus (house mouse). The record is from RNAcentral. Lineage: Eukaryota; Metazoa; Chordata; Mammalia; Rodentia; Muridae.